UACGGAGGGUGCGAGCGUUGUCCGGAAUCAUUGGGCGUAAAGGGCGCGUAGGUGGCGGGACAAGCGUGCGGUGAAAGCCUGGGGCUCAACCCCGGGUCGGCCGUGCGAACUGUUUUGCUUGAGCACUGUAGAGGCAGGCGGAAUUCCGGGUGUAGCGGUGGAAUGCGUAGAGAUCCGGAAGAACACCGGUGGCGAAGGCGGCCUGCUGGGCAGUAGCUUACACUGAGGCGCGACAGCGUGGGGAGCAAACAGG
RNAcentral lists this ribosomal RNA (253 nucleotides) under uncultured bacterium. Its description in RNAcentral is "partial 16S ribosomal RNA". It matches the Rfam family "Bacterial small subunit ribosomal RNA", at positions 524 to 776 of the family's 1533-position model. The record is from RNAcentral.